This 253-nucleotide ribosomal RNA is filed under the name uncultured bacterium. RNAcentral's name for it is "partial 16S ribosomal RNA". It matches the Rfam family "Bacterial small subunit ribosomal RNA", at positions 524 to 776 of the family's 1533-position model. The record is from RNAcentral.
UACGAAGGGGGCUAGCGUUGCUCGGAUUUACUGGGCGUAAAGGGCGCGUAGGCGGACAUUUAAGUCAGGGGUGAAAUCCCGGGGCUCAACCUCGGAACUGCCUUUGAUACUGGAUGUCUUGAGUGUGAGAGAGGUGUGUGGAACUCCGAGUGUAGAGGUGAAAUUCGUAGAUAUUCGGAAGAACACCAGUGGCGAAGGCGACACACUGGCUCACUACUGACGCUGAGGCGCGAAAGCGUGGGGAGCAAACAGG